Long non-coding RNA from Capra hircus (goat), 949 nucleotides. RefSeq lists it as uncharacterized. The transcript is spliced from 2 exons. Lineage: Eukaryota; Metazoa; Chordata; Mammalia; Artiodactyla; Bovidae. The record is from RefSeq and is a predicted model, not a curated record.
UCAGGAUAGAAACGUCCUUUGACUGCGCUGAUAGUCGGUGUUGUGUUAAAGGAAAGAGAUAGUUUUCAAACGGUAACACUUUCUUCCUUGAGAGGUAAUGCGGGUACGUCCGUACCCAGAAUCCCCGAGAUCUCGCGUGGCGUGUUUCCGGUCGCUGUGCUCUCGCCUGAGCAGUAGGGCGAGGCUCGGCGGUCCGGAAACUUUUCCUUCCGCUCCCGCUCUCGCAGGAUCGUCACCCGAGGCCUCUUUACCUCCGCAAAUUAAGUGUCCCUGUAUUCUUUGAUUGUAAGAAGAAUCCUGCUCUCUUUUUUUUUUUUAAUGCCUGCUCCCUGCAAAACUGUCCAAUAAUGAGAAGACUGAAGCAUAGAUUGAAUAACUUGUUGAAGGUCAAGAAACUUUUUGAAGGUCAAGCAACUAAUUUGACUUAGUAAAGUCAAAUGCGGGCAGUUUGGUCCCAGAGCCUGUGCUGUUAACCUCUUAUGUUGAAUUGCCUCUCCACAGUAUGCAGUCUGCUCAUCUAUAAGGGACAUGCCGUUCAAUUUGCCUGUACCACUUCCUCAUGUUCCAGUCUACAUCCUUAUCUUUUAUUAGUGAGCAGGUACCCACUUAACCCUCUUCCCUCCCCUACCAUAGCUGAUUGGACCAGGAGUAGGAUUCAAAUCGGUCCAAUGAGAUUCUCUCUUGAGAAAUUUGCAAUUCAUCUUACCUGGUCUCGACCUAGAAAGUGAUGACACUAGCACAUAAGGGAGGGAGAGAUGUCUGACCCACAUCAGAGAGCGGCAGACAGACAGACAGCAGAAGACUUACAAAGCCUUGGGUUCCCAGAAGUGAGUGGUAGGGAAGUUAGUUGCCUGGGGUUCUGGAACUUUCUGGGUCCUGGUUUGCCCUACUAAGCCUAUCUACACAAGGUACUACUCUUCAAAUAAACUUCUCUUUCAAUUUAAAGUCA